Molecule: non-coding RNA, 1767 nt
Organism: Delphinapterus leucas (beluga whale)
Lineage: Eukaryota; Metazoa; Chordata; Mammalia; Artiodactyla; Monodontidae
Source: RefSeq, a predicted model, not a curated record
ACUUCCUUGGCAGAACAUAAUGGAACUACAGAGCAAUCACUUAGAAAGGGAAACAACUGUCAGUUAUCACUCUAAUGAACCCUGUUUAACAGAGGUGAUGGCAGCCCGGCUGAGGCACAACCUUCUGUGCAUCGAACGUGGAUCCCUUAAUAACUCCAUUCUGUACUGUGUGUAAUUUGCAAAAUAACUGCUCUCAAGGCCAAAUUGUAAAGUGGCUUCAGCUAUGGGUAACAGUGUAAUUUUGGAACUAGUCUCAGAACUAGUUAUUAACUGUUCACUGUUAAUAUUUGAAUAUGAGUAAACAGAAACAAUUCUUAACAUUAAAAAUUUAAAUAGUAUGGUAGUGGUGGUGGCAAUUAUUGAGAUGAUCAUAGCAGUGAUGUUAACAAAUGACGUUAAUUGAAUCAUACGUGACAGGCCCUAUGCUGAACAUUUCAUAUGCAUCAUCUCACUUAAUUCUCAGAACAAUCGAGUGUUAAAAAUCACUUUUCAGAAGGGCAACUUCAUGGCUGUUGUGCAAAUAGAAACACAGUUUAAGAUCUUAUUCAGCUCAUUAAUUUAAGAGGGUGAGGGACCUAGUAAGAUGUUAAAAUUAGUCCAAAAAUAAUUUGAGAUUUUGUGUGUGUGUGUGUGUGUGUGUGUGAUUUGAUAGAUUGUUGGGCCAGAUACAGAACAGGAUAAUGUCCUGCUGGUCCAUAAGAGCUCACACAAGUUACUGUCUCCCAUCAGUUGUAAAAUAGCCCUGUAAACAGAAAGUCACACCCAGCAGUGGGAACACUAUACUAAAGGAAUCCAGUAAUCUCGUUCGCCUAUUUCCAAGUUUGGAAUGUUUUUUUCUGAUACCUGUAAGGCAGAUGGUGCUAUAAUUCGCACAUUACAAAUGGAGAAACUGAGGCUUUGUGAUGUUAAGUAACUUGGCCAAGGUUAUAUGAGAGGUGGAGUGGUGACUGACUUGAGUCUGACUCCUUGCGCAGCUGGCGCUGCGGUGAUGAAGAGCAUGGGCUCAGUAAAUGAACAGGUUUGAGUUCAACUCCCAGUGAACUUGGGCCGGGUAACUACUGUGCCUUUACUUUUUCAUCCGUGAGGCUGUGUUGCUAAUAGUUUUAAGUCACAUGGUGUUGUGAGGAUAUGGUAGGGUGACAUGUUAAAGCCUUGUGCCUGUUGUACGUGACCUUGCACUCCCUCUGUAAACGUCAGCAGCUGUUGUCGUCAUCCGUACUGAUCACCACGGUCGAGCACCACCUGCAUGUGUCUUGCAGAUAGCAGUGCCCUCACCUUCUCUACCCCGACUGGCCGCGGUUGCCUUAAAAGUCUGCGCACAUCCAGAGUAUGAGCUCCAGGAAUCUCCGUCACAGAAAACCAAUUCUCCAUCACAGUUUUCGUCCAGGAUCGUGACCAGAUUCAACUGACCCCAGGAAUAGAAAGUUCCCAAGGUAAAGUGCUGCCAUUGUUUUGACCGUUUGUGCAGAUUUUAUUUCACAUGGUCUGAUUCAUCUUUGUGCGGCAUCAAGUAUCUAAUGGAGCAUCUUAAACAGUCCAAGAAUCAUUCUAUUUUCCAGCAAGCUGUCUUGUACACCCUGAAGGGAAUAUUAUAAGAUUAAGUGCCGAGCAGCAGUCUUCGAGCAAGGUGAAUGCUUCUCAUUACACAGAUCCCCAGUUGAUCUCCUAAAUGUAAUUUCCUGAUAAUGUGAAGAUUCUGAAUUAUUUAUUACCUCAUAUUAGAUCAGGAAUAUUAUUCCUGAAAAUAAAUUUGUUAUCAUCAGCAAA